Molecule: ribosomal RNA, 495 nt
Filed under: uncultured bacterium
Lineage: Bacteria
Description: partial 16S ribosomal RNA
Rfam family: Bacterial small subunit ribosomal RNA
Source: RNAcentral
GACGAACGCUGGCGGCGUGCCUAAUACAUGCAAGUAGAACGCUGAAGGAGGAGCUUGCUUCUCUGGAUGAGUUGCGAACGGGUGAGUAACGCGUAGGUAACCUGCCUGGUAGCGGGGGAUAACUAUUGGAAACGAUAGCUAAUACCGCAUAAUAGUAGAUGUUGCAUGACAUUUGCUUAAAAGGUGCAAUUGCAUCACUACCAGAUGGACCUGCGUUGUAUUAGCUAGUUGGUGGGGUAACGGCUCACCAAGGCGACGAUACAUAGCCGACCUGAGAGGGUGAUCGGCCACACUGGGACUGAGACACGGCCCAGACUCCUACGGGAGGCAGCAGUAGGGAAUCUUCGGCAAUGGACGGAAGUCUGACCGAGCAACGCCGCGUGAGUGAAGAAGGUUUUCGGAUCGUAAAGCUCUGUUGUAAGAGAAGAACGAGUGUGAGAGUGGAAAGUUCACACUGUGACGGUAUCUUACCAGAAAGGGACGGCUAACUACGUA